This 393-nucleotide ribosomal RNA is filed under the name uncultured bacterium. Its description in RNAcentral is "partial 16S ribosomal RNA". It matches the Rfam family "Bacterial small subunit ribosomal RNA", at positions 523 to 918 of the family's 1533-position model. The record is from RNAcentral.
AUACGUAGGUGGCAAGCGUUGUCCGGAUUUACUGGGUUUAAAGGGUGCGUAGGCGGUUUGCUAAGCGGGAGGUGAAAUGCCGGCGCUCAACGUCGGAAGUGCCUCCCGAACUGGUGGACUUGAAUGACUCUGCCGUGGGAGGAAUGUGUAGUGUAGCGGUGAAAUGCUUAGAGAUUACACAGAACACCGAUUGCGAAGGCAUCUCACGAAGGGUUGAUUGACGCUGAGGAACGAAAGCGUGGGGAUCAAACAGGAUUAGAUACCCUGGUAGUCCACGCAGUAAACGAUGAUGGCUAACCGCUGGGCUUAUCAGUUUAGUGGCCAAGCGAAAGCGAUAAGCCAUCCACCUGGGGAGUACGACCGCAAGGUUGAAACUCAAAUGAAUUGGCGGGG